Molecule: ribosomal RNA, 1381 nt
Filed under: uncultured bacterium
Lineage: Bacteria
Description: bacterial SSU rRNA
Rfam family: Bacterial small subunit ribosomal RNA
Source: RNAcentral
AGAGUUUGAUCCUGGCUCAGGACGAACGCUGGCGGCGCGCCUAACACAUGCAAGUCGAACGGAGCUGAGAGGAGCUUGCUUUUCUUAGCUUAGUGGCGAACGGGUGAGUAACGCGUGAGUAACCUGCCCUGGAGUGGGGGACAACAGUUGGAAACGACUGCUAAUACCGCAUAAGCCCACGGUGCCGCAUGGCACUGCGGGAAAAGGAUUUAUUCGCUUCAGGAUGGACUCGCGUCCAAUUAGCUAGUUGGUGAGGUAACGGCCCACCAAGGCGACGAUUGGUAGCCGGACUGAGAGGUUGAACGGCCACAUUGGGACUGAGACACGGCCCAGACUCCUACGGGAGGCAGCAGUGGGGGAUAUUGCACAAUGGGGGAAACCCUGAUGCAGCGACGCCGCGUGGAGGAAGAAGGUUUUCGGAUUGUAAACUCCUGUCGUUAGGGACGAUAAUGACGGUACCUAACAAGAAAGCACCGGCUAACUACGUGCCAGCAGCCGCGGUAAAACGUAGGGUGCAAGCGUUGUCCGGAAUUACUGGGUGUAAAGGGAGCGCAGGCGGACCGGCAAGUUGGAAGUGAAAACCAUGGGCUCAACCCGUGAAUUGCUUUCAAAACUGCUGGCCUUGAGUAGUGCAGAGGUAGGUGGAAUUCCCGGUGUAGCGGUGGAAUGCGUAGAUAUCGGGAGGAACACCAGUGGCGAAGGCGACCUACUGGGCACCAACUGACGCUGAGGCUCGAAAGCAUGGGUAGCAAACAGGAUUAGAUACCCUGGUAGUCCAUGCCGUAAACGAUGAUUACUAGGUGUUGGAGGAUUGACCCCUUCAGUGCCGCAGUUAACACAAUAAGUAAUCCACCUGGGGAGUACGACCGCAAGGUUGAAACUCAAAGGAAUUGACGGGGGCCCGCACAAGCAGUGGAAGUAUGUGGUUUAAUUCGAAGCAACGCGAAGAACCUUACCAGGUCUUGACAUCCGAUGCUUAUUGCAAGAAUGCAUGAAGUCCUUCCGGGAAUCCAAGACAAGUGGUGGCAUGGUUGUCGUCCCCUCCUGGCCUGGGAAAUGUGGGGUUAAUUCCCCGCCCCAAGGCCAACCCUUAUUUGCCGUUUAUACCCCAAAGAGGACUCUGGGGGAAAUUGCCUUUGACAAAACGGAGGAAGGUGGGGAUGACGUCAAAUCAUCAUGCCCUUUAUGACCUGGGCUACACACGUACUACAAUGGCGUUUAACAAAGAGAAGCAAGACCGCGAGGUGGAGCAAAACUCAGAAACAACGUCUCAGUUCAGAUUGCAGGCUGCAACUCGCCUGCAUGAAGUCGGAAUUGCUAGUAAUCGCGGAUCAGCAUGCCGCGGUGAAUACGUUCCCGGGCCUUGCACACACCGCCCGUC